AAUUGGACCACGCAAAAGUGGACCACCAAAGAAUAUGGACUCUCCAGUAUACAUAAGCUUUUCUGACUGCUCGACUGGAGGUUUCGCAGGAGGCUGUGAAGGUUCUUGAGGGACAGGGACUGGGCUCUUGUCAUUGCUAGCAGAUGCAGCAUUUGGAUUUGAUGAUCCUCCUUGCAUAGAGGGCCUUAUACGAGCAUCUGAAGCUGAUACCGGAACCGAAACAUACCUUCCAGCUUCUUGGUCCCAAACAACAGAUGUUCGUUUAACAUCUCUGAGUAGAGAAGCUGCUGGGGCAGCAGCUGAAAG
RNAcentral lists this unclassified non-coding RNA (306 nucleotides) under Hevea brasiliensis (rubber tree). Lineage: Eukaryota; Viridiplantae; Streptophyta; Magnoliopsida; Malpighiales; Euphorbiaceae. The record is from RNAcentral.